CAAGGUUUCCGUAGGUGAACCGAAGGAUCAUUCACACGUAUCCAAACGUUAAAAACCCCCCCGUGAACCUUCAUCCUGCUCUUGUAACCCGCGUAGUUCGCGCAAUCUCUGAUAAAUCAUAGCCCGGAAAAACGUGCGAACAUUGGAACAGUUACAAUCGAGCGGUAGUUCUAUAGGCAAUGUUUCCCCAAGCAGUCAGUGUCGGAAAGUGUCAUUGAUUGUGCAAGGCGCUUCAACGAUUCCUGUAGACCGUACACUCGGGCAGGAGCUUUGUCAAAGGGUGAAGCUCAAUGUCAAUACAUUGGGAAAAAAAACCGAACAACUGUUAACAAUAGAUAUCUUGGUUCUC
RNAcentral lists this unclassified non-coding RNA (349 nucleotides) under fungal sp. RNAcentral's name for it is "partial internal transcribed spacer region". Lineage: Eukaryota; Fungi. The record is from RNAcentral.